Apodemus sylvaticus (European woodmouse) is the source of this 599-nucleotide long non-coding RNA. RefSeq lists it as uncharacterized. NCBI's taxonomy places the organism in Eukaryota, Metazoa, Chordata, Mammalia, Rodentia, Muridae. The record is from RefSeq and is a predicted model, not a curated record. The transcript has 3 exons.
AACAGGGUCUCAUUAGGUAUCUGUGCUUGGCUUGGAACUCACCAUGUAACCCAGGCUGGCCUUGAACUCACCAUGUAGGCCAGGCUGGCCUUGAACUGACCAAGGUCUGCCUGCCUCUUCUGAGGCAGAUCCUGAGAUUAAUAGCAUGUGCUGUUUAUGUGGUGCUGAGGUUUCCUGUAUUCUCAGCAAGUAUUCUACCACUGUAUUGCCUCCUGAGGCCUCCAACCUCCCUAUGUCUUCUGGUCUACCUUUAUUUUUAUGCUUUUUCUUCAUGUUGGACCUGUUCUGAUUGAGAGCCCUCCUGGAACUCCAGAAGUCCCUGUCCCCAUGCCACCCCAGCCUAGAGUGUCUCGCCUCGUCACCACAGAAAUGGUGCAAUUGGAUCCAGAUGGGGCCUGGUCCCUGCUGCAAUGAGUCCUAUAUCACUGCCUGCCUUCCUGCCCCAUAAUUAUCAGCUUUGGGGCUGGAGAGAUGGCUCAGCAGUUAAGAGCGCCGACUGUUCUUCCAGAGGUCUUGAGUUCAAUUCCCAGCAACCACAUGGUGACUCACAACCAUCUCUAAUGGAUCUAAUUACCUCUUCUGGCAUGUGUCUGAAGACA